Apteryx owenii (little spotted kiwi) is the source of this 719-nucleotide long non-coding RNA. The record is from Ensembl. NCBI's taxonomy places the organism in Eukaryota, Metazoa, Chordata, Aves, Apterygiformes, Apterygidae.
GUYAUAUUCCUCCCUGUGGUCAGGGCUGAGGUCUCUGUCCUUGCAGUUUCAUGCCCUUCUGAUUCCAGUUGGUGAAACAAGCUUGGAGUUAGAGUGCCUUCUCCUCAGAAGGAGAUUUGUGUCCUUUUCCACCUUAGGGGUUUUGAUUUUGUACCUUAGGGUUCAAUGAUUUGAAAUGAAUGUCCUGUGAUUUAGGAGAUAGUCCCUUUGCCUCUUGAAAUACUAUGCCACUAUGAAAUACUGUGGCCAGGGUCCCUCUCCUUCCCCCUUAGUUUCAGACUUUCCUAGAAUGCCAGCUGGUUUUAUCUGAAGUAACUAGUUUCUACUUAAAAGAAGUGUCCCUGAGAAUAUGACUUGAAUCAUAAGUCUCCCAAUUCUGUAAUAAUUUGCUUGUUUUCUUAACCAUUUUCUUGCUAGAAACUGAGGCCCAAUCACAUAUGUGUGACAGAAAGACAUGAACCACAAUGCUGUGUACUUGCAAAUCACUUUUCUUGAAGAGCUAUUUCCUCCUGACAGAGCAAAUUGAUAACAGAAAGGAAGAGAUUGAUUUGUAUCUCACAGAAGAUGAAAGCUCAUUCAAAGCCAGUUUAAAGGUGGCACAUUACAAACAUGGUUAUGAGUCUGUAUCAUUCACUUGUUGUUAAUGAAGAUACUUUUUUCUGAUUUGCUAGAAUUUUAAUAAGUCAUCUUUGAAAAAUCCAGACACUGUUUUGCACUCC